GAGCAGCCAACCGAUCGGCUGACUCCCUUCCCCGUUUCCUGUCGCCAAAUAAUUUCGGCGACCUCCCAUCACCACCCUCAAACCCCCACUGCCCAACAACCAAUAAACCACCAAAACAACCGUAUCACGCUGGAUCCCACCACCAGUCCCCUCCAUUUCUCCACUUUUCCAUCACUGCUUCGCCGGAGGUGAUGACCGGUGAGGCUUUCGGCUGCUACCAUCAUAUUUAUACCCUUCAUUCCAUUUUUACUCUUUACCAUUUCAUGAUUUUACAGAUCUUGUUAUUUUUUAUUUUAUUCAGCGUCAUUUCGGUAUCCCUUACCAUAGAAGCAAUGUUCUCGAUCAC
RNAcentral lists this long non-coding RNA (346 nucleotides) under Capsicum annuum. Its description in RNAcentral is "long non-coding RNA (CANN_LNC012756)". Lineage: Eukaryota; Viridiplantae; Streptophyta; Magnoliopsida; Solanales; Solanaceae. The record is from RNAcentral.